This is an RNA transcript of Malania oleifera, 1336 nucleotides long. It is a transcript of the gene named thioredoxin-like protein AAED1, chloroplastic, with no coding region annotated. The record is from RefSeq and is a predicted model, not a curated record. The transcript is spliced from 8 exons. NCBI's taxonomy places the organism in Eukaryota, Viridiplantae, Streptophyta, Magnoliopsida, Santalales, Ximeniaceae.
GCCAAAACGGUCCCCCAUCAAACAACUGGCCUUCAUCCACGUGUGCCUGCCUCCGACAAAAGAUCUCUGAGCGGCGACUACUUUCUUCCUCUGAAGUCUGAAUCUUCUCCCGUUCCUCAAGCUCUGCUCUGCAGUAUUGUGUUCACAGCGAGAGCCAAUUACUUCUCUGCAAAGAGAAAGCAGAGAGGUGUGCAGGCCAGGCCGGCCAACUGCUUCGGAUUUCAAUCAUAGGGUUUAGGGACAGAUCAGCGUCAAGCCAUGGCUCUGCUGAUGCUAUCAUCGCCACCUCAAACCCCAGCAGUGCUUCAAAACCCUCUUCCUCAUCCUUCCUCCCCAUGGCGAUUCCCUAAAGGUCCCUCUUUCAAUUCACCUGCUUCCUCCGUCUCUUCGACUGCCGCUGCCCGCCGCUCCUCAACUUCAUCGACUGAUCGGAUUUGGAGCGGCAGAUCCCGCCUCGUGGCAAGAGCAGCCGCUGCUUCCGAAUUUGAGGACAGCGUCGGCGACGCCCUCGCCGAUGUUGCCGUUUUCACCGCCGCGGAUGGCCAGCCCGUCCUGUUCAAUAAUCUCUGGGAUCAGAACGAGGGAAUGGCUGUUGUUGCGCUUUUAAGGCAUUUUGGAUGUGUUUGCUGCUGGGAACUUGCUUCAGAUUUAAAAGAAUGGAAACCAAGAUUCGAUUCUGCUGGUGUUAAACUAAUUGCUGUUGGUGUUGGUACUCCUGACAAAGCCCGUAUUCUUGCUGAGAGGUUACCAUUUCCAUUGGAUUGCCUUUAUGCCGACCCUGAUAGAAAGGCAUAUGACGUCUUGGGCUUGUACUAUGGUAUUGGCCGCACAUUCUUCAACCCAGCAAGCGCGAAGGUCUUUUCAAGAUUUGAGGCUUUCCAGAAAGCUUUGAAGAACUAUACAAUUGAAGCCACCCCAGAUGAUAGAAGCACUGUCCUGCAACAGGGAGGAAUGUUCGUCUUCAAAGGGAAGCAGCUGUUGUAUGCCCGGAAAGAUGAAGGGACAGGUGAUCAUGCUCCUUUAGAUGAUAUUUUCAACAUCUGCUGCAAGGUCCCAGUCGCAUAAAGAUGCAUCGUGUAGAAAGUACUGUUCAGCUUUUAUGAAUCACCACCACCAGCACGCAAGGGUAAGGAUACGGUGGAGGCCAUGAAGAACUCAAUGCUCACAUCAUAUGGUGGUGUUUGGAGAAGCAAAGGAAAUGAAGACAAAACAUUUUUCAAUUGUAUUUGUUGUUUAAUUCAUUUGGGUUUGUAUUAUGGUUUGUAAUAAUUAAUGCAUCGCAUGCAUGAUAGGUUGAAUAAACUCAAUGACUAUGGAAAAGACUUCAGUUGACAGA